UUUUCAUUCAUGAAAUCCUUUUAACUUUUGAAAAGGUUUGAUUUGGUUUUGACUUAUUGUUUCAUUUGCAUUUUACAUCUUUAUUUCAUACUUAUUUUGAUCAGUAGACCUGAAGACUGCAAGGACCAAGACUAAGCAAUCUAUUGCAGUGUGAAUUUGGGGGCAUCUCCAGAUCCUAUUGGCCAGUGAAGGAGUUGCCAGAUGUCCUUUCUAAAUGCCCAGUGAAGUCUUACGCUUCAUAUGAAAAGCUUAUAGAAAAGCUUCCUCCAAUAUUUCACAUCGGCUGGGUGCCUUUUUGGCACUGGUGGCAGUGGCUGCUAAGGAAAAAGCUACUGUGCAUAUGCAGGAAAGCAAUUUUGCAAGCUCCAGCCCAGGGCACAGCAGUGCACACUUUGUGCAGUGGACCUGUGUGUGUGCAGCAUGCAUGGAGUGACACUGAAUCUCAAGGCGUGACAUCUGAUCUCUCUGCUAUUAUCAAGGCUCCCAUUUACUACAGCCACCAUUGUCUCAAAAAUCCUAAUGACAACCUCGUUGUGUAGAAAGGCACUUGUCAAAGUAAGCACCUUGAAUGGGAGCUGGGGCAGAAAUGGUGGGUAAAGCCCAGCAAAUAAAGAGCUUUGGCUGGCACUGACCUGCGGCUGGAGGUAAAAUGAACAGGAGGAGGAGAGGUGCUGCUCAGCAUUUGUACACCAUGAGAGCAGCCUGUGACUGUACUGGCAGAAGGCAGAGAAGAGAAGAACCUACUGUCACAGAGGAGACAAUGCUGCAAAGAGAGUACACUGCUGAAAGAGAAGUGAAUGAAUUCCUCAUGAAAGGUGCUGUAUGGACAACUCCUUUUUAUCUUCACAAGUCCUGGAGAAACAGCAGUGGAUUCCCCUGCCUUACUUCACCCCUAGGCUGGUCCUCUCCAUGUGUCUCUCACAUAAGGAACUGUUUGAUUGCUCUCCAUUUCUGUUUCGAAAAUCCAAAUUUCUUGUACAAACUUUUGCAGACCACAGUUGUGGAUGUCCCUCCUGAAAUGGCACUUUCUGCUCUAUUCGUGCCAGAAGGCAAUUGGAACUUGUGUGAUUCUCCAUCCUCCUAGCACUUCAUAGAGACAUCUGACCAGAGACUGCUGAUGCACAGGCAGCUGGAAUAUGUGCUGUGGGAAUGAGUAAACAGAAGGGCCAGAAAUCCUCACUCUAGGGAACUGUGGAACUGAUACUGGAAGACUGUCAAGUCAGAAUAUCCUUAGAAUGAUAGGACAUGAGUUCAAGCCACACAUAAAUCCAGAUUUCAGAGUCUUGACCUCAGGUAAGACUCCGGAUUACAUGAAAUUUGUAAGAAAAGUACAGGAAAUCUACAGUGAUCUCAUGUAUUUAAAACCUGUUCUCAGACAAAGUAAGACAAAUUAGUUUCAACAGAAAAAAAAAAUCCUGGACAGGAUUACCAGAAUUUUGAAUGAAGAAAAUUUCAAAAAUCCAAGUUUAAGAAAUUACUUUACUUGAAAACUCUUUCAUGCUGAGGCAGGAUCUGAAUCUAAUUUUCACAGCCCUACAAAAUUAUUCUACAUAUAGAAGCUUAUCACAUACAUAAUUACCUUAUUCUAGUUUGUAUUCUAGAACAAACAUGUCUGCAUGAGACAGUUAUUCAGUAAGAAUGCUGCUUUUAUUCUUGAAUAAUUCCAUGUGCAGUCAAGCCCUCAGUCAAACCAUCACAACUCUGUAUGUAGAUGAAUUGUCAGUCUGUCUCUGCUUGCACUUACACAAAAUGUGUAUCUCUGUUACUAAAUGCAGCUGACAGAUCUGAAAACGUCACGUUUGUGGAGUAGGCAUAGCUCUUACAAGUUCCCACCCUUAUUGGCCUACUAUUUCUGUGUCCUUUGGAGGUGUUACGAACUGCAUAUCCUUCAUAUUUUGUGUUCAAUGUCAUUAGCAAACUAAUAAAUGCUAUGGAGAGAAGGAAAAGUUUUUUCUUCCCUUGUUUGCCAAAAAGCAAGAGGAUUUUUGCCAAAAGGAAGAGUUUUUGAGUGUGACAAUGCUCCAUCAACUUUAUAUAUAUGAGCCCAGGAGAAGAAAACUGAGUUGCUUUCCUUUGAGAAGGGGAAGGAAAUAAAUAUUUGUCCUAGUUCACUAAAAAGCUCUUACGUAUUAGACCUUUUAACCAUAAAGACUUUAUUUUCUUCAUGCUUGUUUUUAUCACCUAUGUUUGCCUAAUUUUGUCAUGAGUACUGUCUCAAAGCCUUAAUAAAACAUUAAUGUCCAAGCCCCAGAACUUCCACUGUUACUUUUCUAUCAUUUAUCUCUGUUACUGAUUUUAGCUCUGGUUACUUCUAAGAAAAGUAAAAUGGCAAUCUAUACAUUUCAAGGAAAGGAUGAGAUUAAUGAAUGUAUACAACUAGGACCUGCUGCUGAUGAUGUCAAAUAUUAAGAGGUGGAACUCUUAAUAUGUACUUAAAAUAGUUUGUUUUCUACUUUGUGUAGUUCUUGUAGCUCCACUUUAAUGUUCUUCCCUAAUACAGGUUUUAACAAUUCAAGUAUGGACUGAAUGGCCUUAUUAGAACCUUUUAAAUGAGUAAGUGUAGCUUUUAAUUCAGUAGCACCUAAAAGAUGUCACUAUAUGGCUACUUUCUAGCCCAUAUGAAAUUACGUGGUGCUGGCUGUUCAGGCAUGUUUAAUGUGAACUCGUCCCAGCUGUAUUCUCAGCAGAGAGCAACUCCUGAAAAGCCCAUGAAGAUGGAUCAGGGUUUUUUUCAGCAAACUGGAAGGAAGAGAUCAGUUCUGCUAUCACUUUUACAGUUUACAUGCUAUGGGCAGGAGUCUGGAUCCUUGUUUAAUGUCUUAGCAGACUGUAGGUAUCAGGCAUUACACAAACAUUCAGUGAUAACAUUUUUCAGAAUAAAAGCCCAAGACCAGCUGGUUUUCUUACUGAGGAGAUCAUUCUAGAUUUCCAAAACAGGACUAGUGAAUAGAGUUCUUCCUUUUUGAGAUAUGAUUUUGUUCUUUAAAUAUCGUGAACCGCGAGUCACUAUCACCCCCGGGGGUUCUAGAAGGUUCCCUUGUGCCUCCCCUCAGCAGCGAGGGCCCAAAGGCACGUGAGGCAUCAGCCAGGGCUACUGGAGAAGGCGAGGAUGUGCAUGUCCCCCUCCCGGGUCACUGGUGGGAGGAAACCCAGCCUGGAUGCAUCCACUGCAGCCAUCUCCCAGAAUUUACAGCUGCCUCACAAGAAUCUGCCCAAUCACCAGCUCCAUCCCAGAACGGGGCACUGAGUAACACUAAUUGGGCAAACUGAGAGAACCUGUGAGUAGUGACUUGCUCACCUGGGGAUGAUCAGCCCUCGUCCCAAGCGCGCUCCACGCCCCAAGGGCAGGCAGGAAUGGCACGAAGCCGGUGUUUGGCUGCCGGGGAAGAUGGAAGCAGCAGCCCCGUUGUCCUUGGAGAAGGAAGGGCCCUGAGGGGCAGGUGCUGCCCGGCCCUGGCUCUCCCUGGCACCUGCGCCCUGCGGGAAGGGCCCUGCGCGGGAGCAGCAGUAGCAGCAGCAUCUGCCGGGACUGCGAGCAGGUCAGUGCCUCAGCUGAACUUCCAUUACUUCUUUUCUCUCUGAGGAAUGUUUGCCAUCACAUUAACUUCUUUUGGAGAUUUUUGAGGUAUGUAUCAGGAAAAAUCCCUUUACAAAUAAUCAUCUGCUUAAGCUUUUGUUGGUUCAAAUGUUAUUCCCUUUGCUAUUGAAAGCAAACGUCAUAAAGACCUGUUUUCCUUUAAAACAAAGGAUUUGAAUUUUUAUAUCGGAGUAGCCUUUAGGUUGUUUGUUGUUUAUGUAUCUUGCAAUAUGGUAUUUCAUUUUAAGGAAGAAUUCUUUAGGUUUAUUUUGUUCAAAAAUUUAAAAGUUGAUGUGUUUGACUUGAGAUUCUAUGGGUUCUGUUAGUAACUUGUUUUCCGCGGGAAAAAGUAAGUUCUGUCAUAAUGGCUUUGCACUUCAGAAGGGAAUUCUGUAACUCUUUUAAGUGUAAUGUGAUUGUGUCUACAUUGUUGUUUUGCAACUUUCUUCUGUUGUUAAAUACCAAACUAGGGCUUCUUAAGUGUGAGAAGGAAAAAUAGCCUUUAUACUAUUGUUUACCUCCUCAUUGGUAUUAUACAGUUCUUCGCAUUAUAAAAAUGCUAUUUAAUCAUGGUCAACUUAAUUCUAUCUACCAACUCCUCCAUUGUGCAAGGCUUUGGACAGCACUCGCUGGGUUACUGAGUCCUCCCCUCCCUACUGCAGCCGUCACAUUGGAUAAUUUGUUUUUGAAGUGUGCUGUACUUUAUCUUAACAACACUUGUGUGGUUUAUUCCCACUAUUCCCAGAGGAUGGCUGUUACAGAAUGUGAUUGCUUUACAACAUUGCUAGUGAACCAUUUGCCAUUGGAACUGACUUGGGAUAAGGUCAAAACCAAUGAGCUACCACCAUAUACUUUAAAAAAAUUCCUGGCCAGCUAAAGUCCAUUUGGACUCAUGCCAAAGUUAUCUUUUAAUUUUUUUUUUCUCUCAGCUUUUUAGCUAAAAGUUAGAUGGCAAUCCUGUCCUCUCUUAGCUUUUUUUAUAGUAGACUAAAUAAAUCAAGCUUGUUUAAUCUCAUUUUAUAAAAUAAGCUUUCCAUUGCCCUCAUCUACCUAGCAGGCCUCCUCUACCUGCUCUAAUUCCAGUCAAUUUGUCAAAUGCAGGUGGCUAGAGUGAAUGCAGUAUUUCAGGUGAGCUCUUCCUAGACUUUUACACAAUGCUAUUGCUUUUCCUUGGCUCUGUUGAAAGUUGCACUAGCUGCCAUACAGGGGUGAUCCACAAUCAUUGUAUUUUAGCAGUCAUCCUAAAUUAAUAUUGAGGAAUUAUGCCAUUUAUGCUUUUUUAGCACAUAAUACUGAGAUUUGAGGUUUGUUUUUAAAUCAGAGGAAGUUUAAUGUGUUGUCAUCUACUUUCAAUAAUCC
Long non-coding RNA from Corvus moneduloides (New Caledonian crow), 4936 nucleotides. The record is from Ensembl. NCBI's taxonomy places the organism in Eukaryota, Metazoa, Chordata, Aves, Passeriformes, Corvidae.